AGUCAGGUUAGGAGGCCGUCUCACCCCUGCUUACUCUCUUUAUUUACAGAUGAGGGAGGGAAGACAAUCUUGCACCUUCUUCGAGUCCUGGGAGCCUCUCAGUCAGAGGCAGUAAAACCGCAAGGUCGGUCAGAACAACCAUUGCCUCGUGGCCGCUGCCCAGCUCUUCCCGGGACUGCCUGGCACAGCCCGUGGACGUGGGCCAAAUCCUCUUUCUGACAGGCUGUCUGAUCCUGAAGGAAUAAGCCUGUAGGAGGAACCAAAGCCCCGCUCCCAAAGGACCCCUUCAGCUGCUGCGUCGGGAAAGUUCUGGGCCGAUCCGGGUGAGGAAGAUGCAGAAUCUCAUGGACAGGCUGUGAACCCCAGAGACUGAGAAGGGUACCCGUUUUUAUACUGGAGAUCAAAG
Molecule: long non-coding RNA, 406 nt
Organism: Suricata suricatta (meerkat)
Lineage: Eukaryota; Metazoa; Chordata; Mammalia; Carnivora; Herpestidae
Exons: 3
Source: RefSeq, a predicted model, not a curated record